Molecule: long non-coding RNA, 853 nt
Organism: Eucalyptus grandis
Lineage: Eukaryota; Viridiplantae; Streptophyta; Magnoliopsida; Myrtales; Myrtaceae
Exons: 2
Source: RefSeq, a predicted model, not a curated record
UCUGCAUCGACAAACACCACCAUACAUUUUCACAUUUCAAUAGAUCAAGAUCCAAUCAAAUUCUAAUCACCAUGAACAACCCUCCUCCUCCCUCUCCUCCCCCAAUGAGGGAGAGAGGGAAAAGAUCUCUUAAAAGGAAAUUGGAUUUUGAGGCAGUGAGACAAUACCAUCUGACAUUCAGGUAAACGAAAGACAGAAGACAGAACGCGAGCGUACCUUCUUUGAAGCCUUCUUCUCUCGAACCUCGUAUCUCUCCUGGGACAAGUCAGAGAGCCAAACACCAGGACUCACCAGCUGCAUACAAAACAGAGAGUCAAAUACAGACUCAAUCAACAACUCAUUUGAGAAAGAAUAGGAUCUUCUACAUUCCUAUGAUAAAACAACUUACAAGCACACUCCUUUGGAUCAAUUUAGCCCUUUUCUUAGGCCUCUGAGGAAGCUUACACCCUUUCAUCGCCAUGAAAUCCUCUUCCUUCUCCUUGUUGGAUAAGGAGAGGAACAAUUUGGGCCAGACAACCACCCCUUUGUCGUUCUUCAUGUUGUGAUCCAACAACACCUUCCCAUUCUCAUCUGCACCCAACGAUCCCCUCGUUGUGUAGAACCGGUCUUCCUUCUCCGGCGACGCCUUGCGUUUAUUCAUGUGCGCCUCCGAGUUCCUACUGAUCAAUCAGCGUAUACCACGAAAAAUCACCAGUGCGUUGAAUUUUGCUCUCUUGCUUUUUAAUCAAAUCUUUACUUGAAAGUUAAAGAGAUUUGGACCGAUGGAGUAAAUUCAGGGUCAAACAGUGUGUAACUGCCAAUGUAUGGCAAACAGUGGUAGUAGAUCAAAGGCAUCUGCCAAGUGAUUCAUAAA